Molecule: RNA transcript, 1809 nt
Organism: Daktulosphaira vitifoliae (grape phylloxera)
Lineage: Eukaryota; Metazoa; Arthropoda; Insecta; Hemiptera; Phylloxeridae
Exons: 2
Source: RefSeq, a predicted model, not a curated record
UCAUACAUAUAAAACAAGUGUUACUUAUUUUAAAAUUUUUCAAAUAUCCAUUUAAAAUUUAUCAGUAAUAGGAUUUACAUUAAAAUUAUGAUAUUAAGACUAUACAUAACUGUUAUUCUUUACACAGAAUGUGCAAUUUCCUUAGACCCUUUAGAAUUGCAUUGUAAUUUCUCUAAACAUUUGUUUAAUUAUUUCAAAUACAGUGAAAAAUAUUUAUAUAACUUUGAAAAUAAUACAUCAGAAUCUGAAUUAAAAGAUUAUGGAACUGCAGUAAAAUCUCAUGGCGAAAUUGUUAUGAUAAUGUUAGAUUCAUUACGAGAAAUGGACGAGGAGUAUAUUGCAGGUGAUAUAAUGACUGUAAAUUUAUACUUGAACAACGUUUCAGGAUCAAUAAAUAUGAUUGCUAAAAAUAAAAAUGGUGAGUUCAGUAGAUCUGAAAGAUCACAGAAUUUGCUUGAAGGCUAUAAAAUUCUACAUCGUUCAAUUGUAGAAAGAUUGGAAUAUUUUUUAAAUGGAAAGUGUUUAAAUAUAACAGUUCAAAAAUAUUUCGUAUCCCUAGCUAAUUUUAAUGAACCAAUUAAAUACAACCCGGAAGUAUUGCUUAAAGAACUCGAAAAACUCAAUAGUAGAAUAAUUAGUAGUAUGAAUGAAUAUUUGACUUUAAGAGAUAUGUUUGUGGGAACAGAUAAUAACAUAUUAAAAAAAUAUUGUCAGAUAAUAAAGCAUUUGGCGAAAUCUUUUGAAAGAAAAUCAUUCUAUAUUUUUAAUCCUAAAAAUGUUUUGUUUUACGAUUUGAUGGAAAAUCGUCCUCGUUUUUCAGAGCUAGACUUUAUAUCAGGAUCUCAAUCAAGACAAUAUGCCAGAUAUAACAGUGACAAACAGCUAAAUGAUAUUUUAGACAUGGUUCGAUAUGCCCCGUUGAAAAUAAAGAACAAUAAUAAUUAUCAAAUAAUGUUAUACGAUGUGUUUCGAUUCAUCAAGUUCAAUUUUGACAUGGAAUAUGUAGAAGUCUUUAAAACAUUAUUAAAUAUAGCAACAGUUCAUCCAAUUAUAAUGAUUGUAUGUUUUUACUUUUCAUUAGUUAAAAAAUUUGUUUUUCUUCCUAAAUUUAAAAAUAAAGAAUUAAAAUUAGCAAUGAAAAAUCAAAUCAUUGAAAUGGGUCAACAUAUUGUUGAAAUUAUAAAAUCCUUUAUGGAUUGGAUUUAUUUAGAAAAAAUUUUACAAUUUACGUAGCAAGUCAUUUCAAUAAAAUAUAUGAACUUAUUUUAUCUUUCAAAGAACGCAAUAAUUUGUUUGUAAGUGACGAAAUGUAUUCGAUACCAAAAUAUUACUAUGACUUUAUAAGAAAAAGAAUGUUAAUUUGGAGUAUAAAUCAAUUACAGAAAGCAGAUAUCACAGAAGACAAUUUUAAUGACAUUUGUCAUUUAGCUGCUGAGGAAGUAAAUAAAAUUGCUUCAUUCGUUUUAGGGUUGAAAAAAUAUAAGUAUUGUUUUGAAUUUGCGAAUAAAUAUAUUCCUACGGAUUAUGUGGAUAAGCGAACAUUUAAUUGUAUUAUCAAGUAUAAUAUCCCAUUCGAUCAAUUAAGAAAAUAUGAAGACAUAUAUCAAACACUGUAUUUUCCUGGUGUCAAUACUAGUAAUAUAAAAAAAUAUUACAGUCAUAGUUCAAAUGAUGAAAACAAUGAGAUGAAUAAUGAUGAAAAUAAAGUUUUUAAUAAUGGAACUCAGUCAUAUUACACUCCUAAAUAUCUAGUUGAUUAUUUACUUUAUGAUUAAAUUAAUAAUUAAUUUCAUAAUAAUUUUAUUAAUA